This 849-nucleotide long non-coding RNA is filed under the name Rattus norvegicus (Norway rat). Its description in RNAcentral is "long non-coding RNA NONRATT017755". Lineage: Eukaryota; Metazoa; Chordata; Mammalia; Rodentia; Muridae. The record is from RNAcentral.
AACGGGAUGAGUAAAGACAGUAAGUUGCUUCACAUUGGUUGUAGUUAAAUUUGCCAUCAAGUGAAUUCAGGUCAGAUAAGGUUCUAUCUCCAUAUAAGUUACAAAAACACUUUCGGUUUUCAGAGCUUUAUGGAUUUCGGAAUUUCGGAUAAGGGAUUAUGGACCUGUACUUCCCUGAUAGGGUUGUUAUGAAGAUUAAAACAAGAUAAGACGAAAACAUUACACAAUAAUGGGUAGGUACUCAAUACAUUUUUUACCCUUUUGGAGAUGUUAGAAGUUUUAAUUUGUAUUUUUAUUUAUAAUUUUGAGGCUUUGUUUUUUUCCUGAGGAGGAACUAUUUACUGUCCUAAAAAUAUUCAGAUGGGCUUAGAAAUGUUCUAGAGACUGAAUCUUGAAAAAUAGAAGCAGGUAAGAUGCAGACUUCGGCAUUACUAACCAGUCUGGAUUUCUUGCAGGUAGAGUGUUGGGUGUAACUGUAGGUUGAGCUUAGCUGGUUGGGGAGUCAUAUUUGAGCUUCUUUGGGAUCUUAGAAGGAGAGCUUGUCACUGUUUCUUUUUGUCUACAGAAUGAUAGAAGGAAGUCAAGGCACCAUUCUGAAUCAGAGGAGAGAACAGAAACAAGAGAAAAUGGUGUUACAGAUGACCUGGAUGCUCCCAAGCCCAAAAAAGCUAAAACGAGAGAGAAGCUAAAUGGAGACACCAAAGAAGGACUUAGAUUUUCAGAUGAAUUUUCCCCAUCUCAUAAGUCAAGAAGAAAAGACCUGCCAAAUGGAGAUGUGGAUGAGUAUGAGAAAAGGUCUAAACGAGUGUCAUCCUCAGAAAACUCUCACAAGUCAAGUGAUAAAGCAGA